GAUUCCCUUAGUAACGGCGAGCGAAAAGGGAAAUGUCCAGCACCAAGUCUUGACAUCUACGGUGUUCAAGAGAUGCGGUGUUAAUGUAUCGACCCAUCGUGCACUGUUCCACAUUUCAAGUUCCUACGACCGGGACUUCCAGAGCGGGUGUAAGACCCAUAGAGAUGAGGAACCAGUGUAUGCUGAGCGAUGCAUUCUAGAGUCAGGUUGCUUGAGAGUGCAGCUUAAAGUCGGUGGUAAACUCCAUCCAAGACUAAAUAUUACAGCGAGACCGAUAGCAAACAAGUACCGUGAGGGAAAGUUGCAAAGCACUUUGAAGAGAGAGUUCAAAAGUACGUGAAACCACUGGGAGGCAAACAGAUGGAACCACGAAGUGUGCGCCUCGGUCGAUUCAAUCAUCACCAUUUGUCAGUUUUUGGCAAUUAGGAUCUUUUCGGAGAUUGAUUUCCAAGAACUAUGAUGAAUGGUGUUGGUGCAUUUCGUGCCGAGGAUGCUAAGCCACGUUCAACUAGAGUUGGGACGGCUGUAAGAAAGAAUCCGAGAAAGGUGCCCGUCACGUGCUUGCAUUUGACGGUGUUAUAGUCUUGGAUUGGCACCGUCACCUAACAUACUGGUUGAUGCAAAUUCUCCAUUUGGAGUUGAACCAUGUCUGCCUGUGGCUGUUAGUCGAUGUUGCGUAAUGUUCUUUGCGUAUCUUUCGAUGCGAAAAGACUUUGCAAAGAUGUCGGCUAAUGGUUGCUUGCGUGGCGUGGUGGAACUGUGGCGCGAGUAGGUCGGUCUCCAUCUGACCCGUCUUGAAACACGGACCAAGGAGCCUAUCAUAUACGCGAGUCGCACGGUCUUGUUUAGGCCAGUGAGGCGUAAUGAAAGUAAAGUUACGAGGYUUCGGCUGCAGUAACGGCUCGCCCACUUUGUUUAUUGGCAAUAUGGCGAAGCUGGAGCGUAUACGAUGGUACCCGAAAGAUGGUGAACUAUGCCUGGGCAAGACGAAGCCAGAGGAAACUCUGGUGGAGGUCUGUAGCGAUUCUGACGUGCAAAUCGAUCGUCAGACCUGGGUAUAGGGGCGAAAGACUAAUCGAACCAUCUAGUAGCUGGUUCCCUCCGAAGUUUCCCUCAGGAUAGCAGGCGUUUUUCAGGGUAGUCUCAUCCGGUAAAGCUAAUGAUUAGAGGUCUUGGGGUUGAAACGACCUCAACCUAUUCUCAAACUUUAAAUGGGUGAGAUGGUUGACUUUCUUGAUUGAAGCCAACCAUUUGGAUGCAAAUGCCUAGUGGGCCAUUUUUGGUAAGCAGAACUGGCGCUGUGGGAUGAACCAAACGUCGAGAUAAGGCAUCAAAUGCGUACGCUCAUCAGACCCCAUGAAAGGUGUUGGUUGCUAUAGACAGCAGGACGGUGGCCAUGGAAGUCGGAAUCC
Molecule: ribosomal RNA, 1412 nt
Filed under: Proctophyllodes clavatus
Lineage: Eukaryota; Metazoa; Arthropoda; Arachnida; Sarcoptiformes; Proctophyllodidae
Description: eukaryotic LSU rRNA
Rfam family: Eukaryotic large subunit ribosomal RNA
Source: RNAcentral